This 120-nucleotide ribosomal RNA is filed under the name Clostridioides difficile. Its description in RNAcentral is "partial 23S ribosomal RNA". The record is from RNAcentral. Lineage: Bacteria; Bacillati; Bacillota; Clostridia; Peptostreptococcales; Peptostreptococcaceae.
GUAAACCCAAGGUUUCCAGGGGAAGGUUCGUCCGCCCUGGGUUAGUCGGGACCUGUAAACCCACGGUUUCCAGGGGAAGGUUCGUCCGCCCUGGGUUCGCCGGGACCUCCGCCGAGGGGA